This 497-nucleotide ribosomal RNA is filed under the name uncultured bacterium. Its description in RNAcentral is "partial 16S ribosomal RNA". It matches the Rfam family "Bacterial small subunit ribosomal RNA", at positions 28 to 507 of the family's 1533-position model. The record is from RNAcentral.
GAUGAACGCUGGCGGCGUGCCUAAUACAUGCAAGUCGAGCGAACAGACGAGGAGCUUGCUCCUCUGACGUUAGCGGCGGACGGGUGAGUAACACGUGGAUAACCUACCUAUAAGACUGGGAUAACUUCGGGAAACCGGAGCUAAUACCGGAUAAUAUAUUGAACCGCAUGGUUCAAUAGUGAAAGACGGUUUUGCUGUCACUUAUAGAUGGAUCCGCGCCGCAUUAGCUAGUUGGUAAGGUAACGGCUUACCAAGGCAACGAUGCGUAGCCGACCUGAGAGGGUGAUCGGCCACACUGGAACUGAGACACGGUCCAGACUCCUACGGGAGGCAGCAGUAGGGAAUCUUCCGCAAUGGGCGAAAGCUUGACGGAGCAACGCCGCGUGAGUGAUGAAGGUCUUCGGAUCGUAAAACUCUGUUAUUAGGGAAGAACAAAUGUGUAAGUAACUAUUCACGUCUUGACGGUACCUAAUCAGAAAGCCACAGCUAACUACGUG